RNAcentral lists this transfer RNA (72 nucleotides) under Camelus bactrianus (Bactrian camel). It matches the Rfam family "tRNA". From Rfam's summary of the family: Transfer RNA (tRNA) molecules are approximately 80 nucleotides in length. Their secondary structure includes four short double-helical elements and three loops (D, anti-codon, and T loops). The record is from Rfam by way of RNAcentral. Lineage: Eukaryota; Metazoa; Chordata; Mammalia; Artiodactyla; Camelidae. RNAcentral also lists the same sequence under 2 other names.
GAGGGUGUAGCUCAGUGGUAGAGUGAGUGCUUAGCAUGCACGAGGUCCUGGGUUCAAUCCUCAGCACUUCCA